This 794-nucleotide ribosomal RNA is filed under the name uncultured bacterium. RNAcentral's name for it is "bacterial SSU rRNA". It matches the Rfam family "Bacterial small subunit ribosomal RNA", at positions 10 to 845 of the family's 1533-position model. The record is from RNAcentral.
GAUUUGAUCAUGGCUCACNAUGAACGCUGGCGGUCUGCUUAACACAUGCAAGUCGAACNAACUCUUCGGAGUGAGUGGCGGACGGGUGAGUAACGCGUGAGAAUCUGCCUGUGGGUCGGGGACAACCACUGGAAACGGUGGCUAAUACCGGAUGAGCCGAAAGGUAAAAGAUUUAUUGCCCACAGAUGAGCUCGCGUCUGAUUAGCUAGUUGGUAAGGUAAAAGCGUACCAAGGCGACGAUCAGUAGCUGGUCUGAGAGGAUGAGCAGCCACACUGGGACUGAGACACGGCCCAGACUCCUACGGGAGGCAGCAGUGGGGAAUUUUCCGCAAUGGGCGAAAGCCUGACGGAGCAAGACCGCGUGGGGGAGGAAGGUUUUUGGAUCGUAAACCCCUUUUGUCAAGGAAGAAGCUCUGACGGUACUUGACGAAUAAGCCUCGGCUAACUCCGUGCCAGCAGCCGCGGUAAUACGGAGGAGGCAAGCGUUAUCCGGAAUGAUUGGGCGUAAAGCGUCUGUAGGUGGCCAGCUAAGUCUGCUGUUAAAGAUCACAGCUCAACUGUGGGAAGGCAGUGGAAACUGGCAAGCUAGAGGUUGGUAGGGGUAAAGGGAAUUCCCGGUGUANCGGUGAAAUGCGUANAUAUCGGGAAGAACACCGGUGGCGAAAGCGCUUUACUGGGCCAGACCUGACACUGAAGGACGAAAGCUUAGGGNAGCGAAAGGGAUUANAUACCCCUGUAGUCCUAGCUGUNAAACGAUGGAGACUAGGUGUAGCACGUAUCGACCCCGUGCUGUA